AGAGUCUCUUGACAUCCUGCUGACAACCUUGGAGACAGGGUCUUCCCUUCGGGGACACCGUGACAGGUGGUGCAUGGUUGUCGUCACCUCGUGUCGUGAGAUGUUGGGUUAAAUCCCCCAACGAGCGCAACCCUUUUUCUUAUUUGCCACCAUUAAAUUGGGCACUCUAAAGUGACUGCCGGUGACACACCGGAGGAGGGUGGGGAUGACAUCAAAUCAUCAUGCCCCUUAUGACAUGGGCUACACACGUGCUAUAAUGGAGAGUACAAAGGGCACCAAAACCCCGAGGUGAAGAAAAUCCCCUAAAAAUUUUCUCACUUCGGAUUGUAGGCUGCAACUCUCCUGCAUGAAACCGGAAUCUCUAUUAAUCGCGGAUAACCAUGCCCCGGGGAAAACCUUCCCCGGGCUUGUGCACACCGAGA
Molecule: ribosomal RNA, 422 nt
Filed under: Terribacillus sp. enrichment culture clone TTGE_BC_4.1
Lineage: Bacteria; Bacillati; Bacillota; Bacilli; Caryophanales; Bacillaceae
Description: bacterial SSU rRNA
Rfam family: Bacterial small subunit ribosomal RNA
Source: RNAcentral